GGACUACAAGGGUUUCUAAUCCUGUUCGCUACCCACGCUUUCGUGCCUCAGCGUCAAUAAUUGGCUUAGUGAGCUGCCUUCGCAAUCGGUGUUCUACAACAUAUCUAAGCAUUUCACCGCUACAUGUUGUAUUCCGCCCACUUCAACCACAUUCAAGCUAAACAGUUUCAUUGGCAGUUUCACAGUUAAGCUGCGAGCUUUCACCAAUGACUUAUAAAGCCGCCUACGCACCCUUUAAACCCAGUGAAUCCGGAUAACGCUUGCACCCUCCGUAUUACCGCGGCUGCUGGCAC
RNAcentral lists this ribosomal RNA (293 nucleotides) under uncultured Bacteroidota bacterium. RNAcentral describes it as "uncultured Bacteroidetes bacterium partial 16S ribosomal RNA". Lineage: Bacteria; Pseudomonadati; Bacteroidota. The record is from RNAcentral.